Molecule: microRNA precursor, 66 nt
Filed under: Canis lupus familiaris (dog)
Lineage: Eukaryota; Metazoa; Chordata; Mammalia; Carnivora; Canidae
Description: miRNA (ENSCAFG00000058567.1)
Source: RNAcentral
CACCUUGAUUUUGGACUUCUAGCCUCCAGAACUGUGGGCAAAUCAAUUUCUAUUAUUUUAAACCAC